CCUACGGGCGGCAGCAGUGGGGAAUAUUGGACAAUGGGGGCAACCCUGAUCCAGCCAUGCCGCGUGUGUGAAGAAGGCCCUCGGGUUGGAAAGCACUUUCAGUGAGGAAGAACGCCUGGUGGUUAAUACCCAUCAGGAAAGACAUCACUCACAGAAGAAGCACCGGCUAACUCCGGGCCAGCAGCCGCGGUAAUACGGAGGGUGCGAGCGUUAAUCGGAAUUACUGGGCGUAAAGCGCGCGUAGGUGGCUUGAUAAGCCGGUUGUGAAAGCCCCGGGCUCAACCUGGGAACGGCAUCCGGAACUGUCAAGCUAGAGUGCAGGAGAGGAAGGUAGAAUUCCCGGUGUAGCGGUGAAAUGCGUAGAGAUCGGGAGGAAUACCAGUGGCGAAGGCGGCCUUCUGGACUGACACUGACACUGAGGUGCGAAAGCGUGGGUAGCAAACAGGAUUAGAUACCCCUGUAGUC
Molecule: ribosomal RNA, 465 nt
Filed under: Vreelandella stevensii
Lineage: Bacteria; Pseudomonadati; Pseudomonadota; Gammaproteobacteria; Oceanospirillales; Halomonadaceae
Description: partial 16S ribosomal RNA
Rfam family: Bacterial small subunit ribosomal RNA
Source: RNAcentral